Hylaeus volcanicus is the source of this 976-nucleotide long non-coding RNA. RefSeq lists it as uncharacterized. The transcript is spliced from 9 exons. The record is from RefSeq and is a predicted model, not a curated record. NCBI's taxonomy places the organism in Eukaryota, Metazoa, Arthropoda, Insecta, Hymenoptera, Colletidae.
UGAAAAAUUUGAAAAAUACUUUCAACAUUAAUGAAAUUGAUACUUGGAAAUAACACAGUUUUAUUAUUCAUAGACAAUUUUGUACAAAAAUUAAAGUAAUAAAUAAGGGACAUUUUAAUUAAGUAUUAUUAGAUAUCAUAAUGUUAAGAAUAAAAUUAACAUCAAGCGAUUUGUUUCAUACAAUAAUUUUUUUUUUAAACUUUAUUAAAUAAUAAUAUAUUUUGAAUGUGUAGCGGGUGCCAAACAUGACAUUUUGGACAUUGAUGAAUUUUUUCUUUCUAAUAUUCGUCAAUAUUUUUGUUUCAUUGUUUUCUAUGGAAAAAGCGCUUUCAGAACGGAGCUGUUUUAUACAUGAAAAAGCGCUAGUUUCUGCAUUUAACACAAAGCGAAGGAAAAAUAAUCUUAAAGAAGUUCAGUGGGCUCCAUAUCUUUCCAUAAUUGCGGAAAGGUAUGCCGAAACAAUAUUUAAACAAAAUACGCCACGUGAAUCAUUGCUUGACGCGGGCAUGGAUAAAUUAGUUCAAAUUAAUUCGGGCUACUUUCUCUCAGAGGUAAGAAAUUUAAAAGAAUGUUAUAAAACUAUUUUUUUUUGGUUAUUUAGGAAGCACUCGUAGAUUCCUGGUUAAAUGGUUUAAAAGCUCAAGACAAUGAUACUUCAUACAUGGCAGCAAGCCUUCACUAUAUUUUAUCCGCUGAUACUAAUUUCGUGGGAUGUUCAAGAUUAUGUAAUCAUAUUCAAGAAAUAUGGGUUUGCUUUUUUGAUAAGAAUAUAAAUCCUUUUUUCGGGCGUAGAUCAAGAAGUAAAAAACCUAUUUUACGUUCAGUCUUUUAAAUCAUUGCAAAAAAGCGGAAGGUGACGUGGGAGAGUAAGCUUGGUUCACGUUGGAUACAAGGGGAGAAGAAGGAGAAUACAUCGGAGAAGAUGGAGAAUAGGAUGGUGAUUGAUGAAAUUGUAUUGUAUCAUAACGUGGUGAUA